AACGGGUGCGGAACACGUACGCAACUUCCUCUAACUGGAGAAUAGCCCCUCGAAAGAGGGAUUAAUACUCCGUAACAUAUUGAUAAGGCAUCUUAUUAAUAUUAUAGCUCCGGCGGUUAAAGAUGGGCGUGCGCCUGAUUAGAUAGUUGGCGGGGUAACGGCCCACCAAGUCUGCGAUCAGUAACUGGUGUGAGAGCACGACCAGUCACACGGGCACUGAGACACGGGCCCGACUCCUACGGGAGGCAGCAGUAAGGAAUAUUGGUCAAUGGACGCAAGUCUGAACCAGCCAUGCCGCGUGGAGGAUUAAGGCCCUCUGGGUUGUAAACUCCUUUUAUCUGGGAAGAAAUGCAUUUUUUCUAAAGUGCUUGACGGUACCAGAGGAAUAAGCACCGGCUAACUCCGUGCCAGCCGC
This 415-nucleotide ribosomal RNA is filed under the name uncultured bacterium. RNAcentral describes it as "bacterial SSU rRNA". It matches the Rfam family "Bacterial small subunit ribosomal RNA", at positions 101 to 515 of the family's 1533-position model. The record is from RNAcentral.